This is a long non-coding RNA of Microplitis demolitor, 731 nucleotides long. RefSeq lists it as uncharacterized. NCBI's taxonomy places the organism in Eukaryota, Metazoa, Arthropoda, Insecta, Hymenoptera, Braconidae. The transcript has 3 exons. The record is from RefSeq and is a predicted model, not a curated record.
UGAAGCGCACGUUUCAGUUAUUGUUCUUGAGUUUCAGGAUAACGAAAUACUGAUUGCGCACGUUUAACUCUACCUUUACAACCCAGGACAAAGCUAUAUAUUUUGUGACCUGAGAUAAAUUCUUACCAGUCUUUUGCGAACCUUCAAAUUUACAAGACUGGCCUGGGAAAAAAUUUUUAUUUCGGUAAUCAUUUAAUUACUUCACAAGAAAAAUUUAGAUAAUGAGUUUUUGAUAUUAAAUAUAAAUUUAUUUUAUUAAACCAGACAAAAUAAAUAUUUUUCAUAAGCAUUACUAUUGGAUACAUAAAAUCUUUAAUUAAGUUAAUUUAUAAUUAUCUUAUUAAUAUCAUUUAUAUAUUUAAAUUGUAACAAAAAUAAUUAUCGUAAUUAUAUUUAAUUGAUUUGUAUUAAAUAAUCAAUUUUUUAUGUGAAUUGUGUUAUCGACAAUUAUAUUAACUUAUUAAGUAUAAUUAUUCUUAAUUGAAAAUAAUAAUUAAGUAAAUUACCUCAUCGAACAAGUUUGUGAUAAUAAGAUUUGUUAUCAGGAUGCUAUCAGAGCAUCAAAGUAUAAAUUUUUUGUAAAAAUGAUCUCACUGAAUGUUUAAAUUGCAAUUACAAAUAAUUGAAAUUCAAAUAUCACAAUUUUCACGACAAAAAAAUAUAAAAUUUAAAAUUAAUUAGAAAAUUUCCUUAUUUUAUAUAGAUAAUAAAACAUCCGCACUUGUGUUACA